ACUUCCUCAUAUGUUGUAAAGAAUCUUGAUAUCCCUUCUCCGUCACCUCUCUUUCAUCAUCAUCAAUUUUGAACUUGGAAUAGGAUUUAUAAGAAGACCACAGGUUUAAUCUGAGCACUUCAAUUAAAGAAGUUAUGUAGAAAAGUCUGAGACCUGAAGAACAACUGCCAGUCAGGAGCUCCUAGAAUUUAUUGGACUAGAUCAGCAUUUCCCAACACAACCAUUUUCUUGUUCUUUGGCCAUUCUGCUUGGGGAAUCCUGAGAGUUGGAGCUCUUACAUCUGGCUGUUGCAUAGUUUACAAAAGAUGAGAUUAGCUGGACCAGUGAUGUGGCUCUGCCUAUAAAAUAGAAAUGCAGUAGCUGUCAGGUUCGGUCAGCACG
Long non-coding RNA from Python bivittatus (Burmese python), 381 nucleotides. RefSeq lists it as uncharacterized. The record is from RefSeq and is a predicted model, not a curated record. NCBI's taxonomy places the organism in Eukaryota, Metazoa, Chordata, Lepidosauria, Squamata, Pythonidae.